This 71-nucleotide transfer RNA is filed under the name Rubrobacter sp. RNAcentral's name for it is "tRNA-Ser". It matches the Rfam family "tRNA". From Rfam's summary of the family: Transfer RNA (tRNA) molecules are approximately 80 nucleotides in length. Their secondary structure includes four short double-helical elements and three loops (D, anti-codon, and T loops). Further hydrogen bonds mediate the characteristic L-shaped molecular structure. tRNAs have two regions of fundamental functional importance: the anti-codon, which is responsible for specific mRNA codon recognition, and the 3' end, to which the tRNAs corresponding amino acid is attached (by aminoacyl-tRNA synthetases). tRNAs cope with the degeneracy of the genetic code in two manners: having more than one tRNA (with a specific anti-codon) for a particular amino acid; and 'wobble' base-pairing, i.e. permitting non-standard base-pairing at the 3rd anti-codon position. Lineage: Bacteria; Bacillati; Actinomycetota; Rubrobacteria; Rubrobacterales; Rubrobacteraceae. RNAcentral also lists the same sequence under 1 other name. The record is from RNAcentral.
GGAAACGUUUGGAAAACUAUCUCGCCGUCCUCGCAUGGCGGAGGUCACGAGUUCGAGUCUCGUCGGGUCCA